RNAcentral lists this transfer RNA (72 nucleotides) under Blastomyces dermatitidis ATCC 26199. RNAcentral describes it as "tRNA-Arg (TCT) (tRNA-Arg-TCT-1-1)". It matches the Rfam family "tRNA". Rfam says of the family: Transfer RNA (tRNA) molecules are approximately 80 nucleotides in length. Their secondary structure includes four short double-helical elements and three loops (D, anti-codon, and T loops). The record is from RNAcentral. RNAcentral also lists the same sequence under 4 other names. Lineage: Eukaryota; Fungi; Ascomycota; Eurotiomycetes; Onygenales; Ajellomycetaceae.
GCCCCCGUAGCCCAAUGGUAGGGCGUCAGACUUCUAAUCUGAAGGUUGCGGGUUCGAGCCCCGCCGGGGGUG